RNAcentral lists this long non-coding RNA (4737 nucleotides) under Zostera marina. RNAcentral describes it as "long non-coding RNA (ZMAR_LNC005625)". Lineage: Eukaryota; Viridiplantae; Streptophyta; Magnoliopsida; Alismatales; Zosteraceae. The record is from RNAcentral.
AUUUGGGAAAUGGGGGAGAACAAAUGUUCUAUCCCUCUUAAAAUGUUAUUAAUUCACUUAUAUACAAUUUAGGAGGAUUGAGACUUAACAGAACGAUAACCGUUUCUGUUAAGUCUUAUCCAAUUAGAAAGUUUUAAAAUUGUAUCCUAGCUUAAAGGUGUUAUAAAAGUAAUUAAACUAAUUACAUAAAAGUUCCUUAUUAUAUCACUAAUAGCCCCCCUCAAACUCAUCUAUAUCUAUCGAUGAGGUUGGCUUUAAGUUCCAUGAAUGAUGUUGGCCUUAAUGAUUUUAUCAAUACAUCCGCUCUUUGCUUGGUGCUAAGAAUGUGAAUAACUUCUAGAGUUUUAUUUUCAACUCUUUCUCUCACAAAGUUGAAGUCCACAGCAGCAUGCUUGAUUUUUGAAUGAAAAACAGGAUUGGCAGCAAGUUGUGUGGCUCCCAAAUUGUCACACCACAUUUUGUAAGGUUUAUCAACCUUUAUACCCAUUUCAGACAGUAAAUUAGCCACCCAAUCUAAAUCUGCAGCUGCUGCAGUAAUAGCUCUGAAUUCUGACUUAGUGCUUGAUCUGGACACUGUUGUCUGCUUCUGAGAACACCAUAUCACCAGAGAUUUACCCAUAUACACAAGGUAACCAGACUGACUUUUCCUGUCUGUCUCAUCUGAAGCCCAAUCAGCAUCACUGUAGGCUGAAAUGUUGCAAUUACUGGAUUUUCUAAGAACAAUUCCCAUGAACUGAGUUCCAGUCAGAUAUUUGAGAACUCUUUUCAUCAUCUGCCAGUGAAUCUCCUUAGGUUUUUCCAUGAAUUGAGCCAGCUUGUUGACUGAAUACGCAAUGUUUGGUCUUGACAUUGUCAGGAACCAACAAUCUUCCUAUAUUCAGUUGCAUUUUCAAUUACUUCAGCAUCAGAGAAGAAAGAUUGAUCAUGUUGCAUUGGAGUAGAAAUAGGUUUAAGGCUCUGAAAAUUUUGUUUGUUCAACAGAUUGACCAAAUAUAGUUGUUGGUCUAAAAACACACCAUCCACAUGUUUUCUUACCCUUAUCCCUAGAAAAUAUUCAAGAUCUUCACACAACCUUACUGCAAAUUCAGACUUUAGAAUAUCAAGACACUCCUUCACCUUUUCUGAGCUUGAACCAGUAAUGACCAUGUCAUCAACAUAGACUAAAAUGUAAAUAACUUCAUCAUCAAUUCUCACAAAUAAAGAUUCAUCAGAAAAGUAUGUUUUGAAUCCCAUUCUGUCCAAGGACUGUUUCAACCGUCUAAACCACAUCCUGGACGCUUGUUUUAAGCCAUAAAGUGCCUUUUUCAAAAGACACAUGUCUUGGUUUUCAUUCAUCAAGGAAGCCAGCUGGUUGCCUCAUAGCAAUCUUCUCUUCUAACUGCCCAUGAAGAAAAGCAUUGCUAAUAUCAAUCUGUUGCAUCUCCCGUCCUCUAGAGACUGUAAUGGUAAGGACUACUCUUAUGGUUUUGGGCUUCACCACAUGACUGAAUGUUUCACCAUAAUCUUGCCCCUCCACUUGAUUGGUUCCAUUGGCUACCAAUCUAGCCUUUAGCCUUUCAACUGUCCCAUCAGAUUUUUCUUUGACCUUAAACAGCCAAAUAUUGUUUAUGACAUUGUCUGUGGCAGAUUUGGGUAUCAAUUCCCAUGUUUCAUUCUUUAUGAGGACGUCAUAUUUUUGUUGCAUUGCCUUCUUCCAUUCAGGAUCUGUCAAUGCCAACUUCACAGAUUUUGGUGCAACUUUCUGAGUAGGAGUAAUCGAUAAAACAUAUUUUGAAUUUCCUCUGCUUGAUGCUGCCCUUGUUACUGAAAUAUGCACCAUAUCCCCUUUCUUCGAGAUAUUAGGCUGAUACUCUUCAUCUGAAGAUGAUGAAAUAUUCUCAUCACUUAAUGAACCUUCUGCCACUGCAUGUUGCUCAUUAACUGCAUCAAUGGGAUGUUCUGAAAGAACCAUAGCUCGUGAAGAUUCUGCUGGCUGAAGAAUCUUCUCUCUUCUAGUAUAAGUCUGAAUUGCAGGCAUAGAAGGAACACAAAUAUCUGAAACUUUUUCUGAUCUCACAGCAACCUCUGUUUCAGAUGUUUGCACUGUUUCUUAUUCUUUUUCAUCAUCUGUACUAUGAUUUGACUGCACUGUGUUUUCUGAAUUCAUACCCUUCUUGUAAAGAAAAUCAUUCUCAUGAAACACUACAUCUCUUGAUAGUGUUGUCCUUCCAUGUUCAUGCAUAUAUAUUCAUCACAAUUUGCAGGAUAUCCCAUGAACACACAUUGAUGAGAUUUGUCACCCAAUUUAUCCUCCCUAUAGGGCCUCAUGUUAGGAUAACAAAUAGAACCAAAAACUCUCAUUUAAAAAUAUUCUGGUAUCCUAUGAUUGAGUGCUUCAUAUGGAGAGAUUCCUCCCAAGACACUUGUAGGAUUUCUGUUAUAGAUGUAAACAGCAGUCAUAAACGCAUAAUCCCAGAAAUGAUCUUCAAUCCUUGCAUGAUUGAACAUGGCCAGCCCUGUAUCGACUAUGUGUCGAUGCCUUCUUUCCACCUUACCCAUUUGAGGAUGAGUGUGUGGACAACUAAGGCAGUGAAUUAUACCAUUCUUUCUAAGAUAAGUGGAGAGCUUGAGAAAUUCCUUAGCAUUAUCACUCUGAACUGCCUUGAUUUUAAGUUCAAACUGCCUUUCCACUAAUUUCUGAAAUUGCACAAAACAGUCCUCUAUCUCAGACUUCCUUUUCAUCAAAAAUAACCAAUUAAAACUAGUGGAUGCAUCUACAAAAUUUAUGUAGUAUCUAUAGCCCUCUAAAGAAUCCCUAGGUGCAGGACCCUAAACAUCCGCAAACACAAGCUCAAGUGGAUUACUGUAAACAGUGCAUCUCUUAGAAUGAUUUAAUUUCUUAGAUUUCGUUACACAGCAAUUUUGACAUGGUACAUGGAUAUUUUUAGAAUCGGUAACAAUAAUCCUCUUAUUUUUAUUUAAAUCUUCCACUGCUCUCGAGUGUAAAUGCCCUAGCCUCAGAUGUCAGGUCCUUGCAUUUGCCUUUUUGCCCAUCUCCACAUGAUUCACCUGCAGUUCAGCACUCCUUAUAUUUAUGGGGAUCUCGUACAACCCAUCUCCUUCAGGUCCAGAUAUCAGUACUUCUUUUGUGACCAGAUCCUUCACUGUCACCUUCUAUGGAUCAAAUUCCAUAGAAACCCUGUUAUCAAUAAAGAACUUCUUGACCGAGAUUAAAUUCUUGGAUGCUGAUGGAACAUAAAGAAGCUGUUCUAAUUUAAUCAUUCUAUUAUUUACUGAAAAGCUAGAAUUACCAUAAUGAGUGAUCUUCAUAGGCCUUCCAUCUGCUGUGUUGAUGGCCUUAUCACAUUCCACAGAUUGCUGAAUAUUUUGCUGAGCUUUUGUAACAUGAUUCGUAGCUCCUGAAUCUGCAUACCAGAGAUGUGCUUCCUCCUGCAUUGCUACCAAAUUCACAGUAGGCUCAUCAACAGUACCUGUUUCAGGGUACCAAAUAGAUCCAGAACCUUUAUAUGCAGUGUUAACGGACAUUUUUCCAGUAGGCCUGUUAGGUGAUAGUACUCUAUUAUGUGUUGGAGGAUAUUUUGUGAUGUUCAGCCUAUUGUAGCAGUUCAGUGCAUCAUGUUUUCCAGAGCAAAUCUGACAUGGAAUAGUACUGAGUUUCACCUUCCCUUGCUUCUGAACUUUUUCUGUCUCAACGACAUUAAUGCUCAGAGGAUUUGCUACAUUGGAUCUAGAUUUUCUUAUUUCUAUAUCCAUGAACAUUGUUUUUACCUCUCUAUAUGUAAUAUCAUCCCUCCUUGCCGUAAUGUUUUGAAUCAACGAUUCAUAUUCAUCUCCUAAUCCAACCACCACUAGAAGGACCAGAUCUGCAUCAUCUAUUUUCUUUCCAGCAAUUGACAAUCCUUCCACAAGCAUAUUGAUUUCAACAAUAUAUUCAGUAAAACUUUUUCCCUUCUUGAGAUUUUGCAACUUUUGAUUGAUUGCAAGAAUCUGUGAACGCGAGGAAGAUGCGAAUUCUUCUUGAAGAAUCUUCCAACAGUCUGAUGAGGUUUCACAACUUGAAACCUCUGUGACCACCGACGCCGUGAGUGAAGAGAGUAUCCAACCCAAAAUUAAUUGAUCCUGCCGGACAGCCACCGGCGUGCUUAAUUCCACUUCUCCGAGGAGGUAAGGAAUGAGGCCAUUACCUCUCAAAGCUCUAAGAAACUGCGUCCUCCAGGCAAAAUAAUUGUCUCGAUCCAAUGCAACAGUCUUGGGAGACUUGAUGAUCACCACUUUCGUUGGAGUCUUCAACUCAUCCCAAUUAAGCAGCAUUUACCACAUCUUUACCGGAUUCUGCCAUGAUCGCGCAGCGGAAUUUGAUCAGCAACAGCCGGAAAAAUGGAUCAGCAACAAAUCUCCCCGAUCAGCAACCGCAAUUGAAUUCAAAUCCAACGACUGAUACCAUAUGCGUGUUAUGAUCAGAAUGCGUUUGGGAAAUGGGGGAGAACAAAUGUUCGAUCCCUCCUAAAAUGUUAUUAAUUCACUUAUAUACAAUUUAGGAGGAUUGAGACUUAACAGAACGAUAACCGUUUCUGUUAAGUCUUAUCCAAUUAGAAAGUUCUAGAAUUAUAUCCUAGCUUAAAGGAGUUAUAAAAGUAAUUAAACUAAUUACAUAAAAGUCCCUUAUUAUAUCACUAAUAAAAGUAAAAUUCAAAACAUAAAAAACACCUGUUUAGCGAUAAAAAAUUUAACAUCCUU